Molecule: ribosomal RNA, 430 nt
Filed under: uncultured archaeon
Lineage: Archaea
Description: bacterial SSU rRNA
Rfam family: Archaeal small subunit ribosomal RNA
Source: RNAcentral
UACCAGCUCUCCGAGUGGUAGGGAUGAUUAUUGGGCUUAAAGCGUCCGUAGCCGGCUUAGCAAGUCUCCUGUUAAAUUCAGCGACCUAAUCGUUGAGCCGCGGGAGAUACUAACUAGGCUAGGAGGCGGGAGAGGUUGACGGUACUUCUGGGGUAGGGGUGAAAUCCUAUAAUCCCGGGAGGACCACCAGUGGCGAAGGCUGUCGACUAGAACGCGCUCGACGGUGAGGGACGAAAGCUGGGGUAGCGAACCGGAUUAGAUACCCGGGUAGUCCCAGCUGUAAACGAUGCGGGCUAGGUGUUGGGAUGGCUACGUGCCAUUUCAGUGCCGCAGGGAAGCCAUUAAGCCCGCCGCCUGGGGAGUACGGCCGCAAGGCUGAAACUUAAAGGAAUUGGCGGGGGAGCACCAUAAGGCGUGAAGCUUGCGGUUC